UACGGAGGAUGCAAGCGUUAUCCGGAUUUAUUGGGUUUAAAGGGUGCGUAGGCGGGACGGUAAGUCAGUGGUGAAAUCCGGCAGCUCAACUGUCGAAUUGCCAUUGAUACUGCUGUUCUUGAGUACAUUUGAAGUGGGCGGAAUAUGUCAUGUAGCGGUGAAAUGCUUAGAUAUGACAUAGAACACCGAUUGCGAAGGCAGCUCACUAAGCUGGUACUGACGCUCAGGCACGAAAGUGUGGGGAUCAAACAGG
Molecule: ribosomal RNA, 253 nt
Filed under: uncultured bacterium
Lineage: Bacteria
Description: partial 16S ribosomal RNA
Rfam family: Bacterial small subunit ribosomal RNA
Source: RNAcentral